CCUACGGGAUGCAGCAGUGGGGAAUAUUGCACAAUGGGGGAAACCCUGAUGCAGCGACGCCGCGUGAGCGAUGAAGUAUUUCGGUAUGUAAAGCUCUAUUAGCAGGGAAGAAAAUGAUGGUACCUGACUAAGAAGCCCCGGCUAACUAAGUGCCAGCAGCCGCGGUAAUACGUUGGGGGCAAGCGUUAUCCGGAUUUACUGGGUGUAAGGGGAGCGUAGACGGCUGUGCAAGCCCGAUGUGAAAGCCCGGGGCACAACCCCGGGACUGCAUUUGGAACUGUGUGGCUGGAGUGUCGGAGAGGCAGGCGGAAUUCCUAGUGUAGCGGUGAAAUGCGUAGAUAUUAGGAGGAACACCAGUGGCGAAGGCGGCCUGCUGGACGAUGACUGACGUUGAGGCUCGAAAGCGUGGGGAGCAAACAGGAUUAGAUACCCCAGUAGUC
RNAcentral lists this ribosomal RNA (440 nucleotides) under uncultured bacterium. RNAcentral's name for it is "partial 16S ribosomal RNA". It matches the Rfam family "Bacterial small subunit ribosomal RNA", at positions 338 to 795 of the family's 1533-position model. The record is from RNAcentral.